UAUAGAAAGCCUUCGAUAAAGCACAUCUACUGUGCGCUGUCAGUAAGUUGAGAAUUAACCACGAGAAAAGCAAAGAAUUUGGUGUUCAUCUAGGCUCAAUCGUUAGUCCCCUACUUUUCAUUAUUACUGCCUGAGUUUGGUCAUGAGAUGCAGAUGGAUACCGACAGCUUCAUAAAGAAGUGACGUUCCCUCAAAGUGGAUAAAACUCGUGGAAGUAGGAGACCUAGGAAGACAGGUCGGAGUACUGAAAGACACCCUCAGGAAGCAAAACUUUUCAGGCAAGAUGACAAAGGAUUGAGAUAACCUGGGGCCUUCUUGUACUCAAGACCUGCCCUCCACAACAGAAGUGUUAAAGCCGCAGCCCCUGGUGCAAAGGAAUGAUCUCCAAGAGUCCCUUGCUGGUGCCACGUAAAAAUAACCCAUACCAGUGCCACGAAAAGGUGAUCGCGCCAGUGGCACAUUAAAACCACGCCACAAACACUGUAGAAAGCGUAUCCAGCUGUAGAACCCAAACCUCGUGCUGUUCUCCAGCUUGACAGCUGAGGUGAAAACGUCCAACCCAUGCCAGCAUGGAAAACGAAUGUUAAAGGAUGCUGACGCUGAUGCGGAUGAUGU
Molecule: long non-coding RNA, 615 nt
Organism: Octopus sinensis (East Asian common octopus)
Lineage: Eukaryota; Metazoa; Mollusca; Cephalopoda; Octopoda; Octopodidae
Exons: 2
Source: RefSeq, a predicted model, not a curated record